This 24726-nucleotide long non-coding RNA is filed under the name Durio zibethinus. Its description in RNAcentral is "long non-coding RNA (DZIB_LNC001647)". The record is from RNAcentral. Lineage: Eukaryota; Viridiplantae; Streptophyta; Magnoliopsida; Malvales; Malvaceae.
GUAUAUGAACGGUCAAGUUGUUUCAACUGAACACAUCCUACUUGGCUGUUCAAAAUCCCUUACCCCAAAUUUUUUAAAGCCUUUAAGAACACUUUCGUCAAGGUGAUGCAACCAGCAAUAUCUGCUUCCCUUUUUUAUAUUGUUUUUCUUUGCUCAUUAGCUUUGCAUGUGGAGGUUUUCCCUGACAGUUUGAGCACUUGUAUAUUAUUAAAUUCUACUGUUUUCUUUUCAUCAUCGACGAGACAAAGCCAAUAUUAAUAAAAUUAUUUAAACCCAAGUUUUGUUUUUAUGAAUAUACCUUGGUUUUAUUAAUAUUUUGGCUGUUCUAACAAACCAUGGCAUUGUGGGCUUUGAACCCUGUAAGUGUUAAAAAGCUUGGGUUUUUUUUGGUUAGUCAUUGGAGUCUGGGAAAAAAGCAUACUGCCGUUCUUUCACCCUUGUUUUUAUGACAAUUUUAGUAAAACCCUAUGUUGGUUUCAUCCUCAGAAUUGCAUGAAUUUCUUCUUGAUUCCUACUGUUCAUGUUUUUGCUUACGUUUGUUGGCAGCUGGUGCUUGUAUCUUGAGUUCAUGAUAAUUUGAGGCAGAAAAUAGUUGGCCUGGUUUCAACUACAAGUAUUUGUUUUGGAAGCCAUGGAAGAGGGCUUGUUGAUUUCAAGAUUCAUGACAAGAACUUUGAUUUUGUUGAGUCUUUGGUUCUUGUGGGUCCCUUUAGGAGUUGUCUGCAGUACUGGAAAUGCAUCAGUUUCCUCAGGGUCUUCUUCUUCGUCCAUCUUCUUGAAGCCAAACGUUAUAAAAUUGGAUCUCUGUUCACGUUGAAUUCAGUUAUUGGUGGAGCAGCAAAGCCAGCACUUCAAGCUGCUAUUGAUGAUGUCAACUCUGAUCCAAGCAUUCUCAUGGGAUAGAAUUGAACUUCUUUUGUUUGAUACAAAUUGCAGUGAAUUUAUUGGAACCAUGGCAGGUAUUUUCUUGUACCCUGCAAUUUGAAUCGAUCUUCAACAACUUUUUGUCUGUUGACAUUCCUGAAUAGAAUGCAUCUUUUAAGAAAUUAAACCGAACUGUUUUUAGACAGAAAAUCAGUAUCUUCUAACGGGUGAAGUUGUGAUAAUGAAACCAAUGGCUCUUUUCUUUGUGUUGGGUAUCUUUCUGCUUUCCUUUUCCAUUUGAUGGUAUAUUCAGAAUCAAUGUCAAGCAAUGCUACGAUUAGAAGGGCAGGCUUUAGGUUGUAUGGCCUUAUCUGAUGCCAUUUUUACAGUAUUUAACUUCAAUAUAAUCGCUAAUGUUUCUUAAGGAUUGUAGUUGUUAUGACAUAUAGCGGACUUUGCUUUGUCCUCGAACUCCAUUAAUUUGCAUUAAUAGCUUAAAUUACAAAUUAGGCUGUGUGCUGUGGUCUUGAUCUCAAGAGAGAUGUAUAUAGUAAUUUCUUGAGAGUAUGAGCAUUGGGUAAGAGUACCUUUUUGUCUGUUACAUUUGGUUCAGUUGAUCUCCUGCUCCAAGUGCUCUAAUCUAUAUGCUUAUGUUUAUUCAACAAUGUUAAUUUUUGUAUGUUGCAAAUCUGCAGUUACAUUUUGUGCCUCCAAAAAGUCUGUAAGUUGUGGCUAUUGUAAUUGAGAAAUCUAUUAGGUCACUGCUAAUUUUUUAAUAACUUCUUUUGAUAGUGAUUACAUCCAGAAACUACUUCCCCUGGCAUAGUGCCACGCCAGGAACAACAUUAUUUAACUCACAAUCUAGAUGAAUCGGAGAUCUUGCAAACCUAUUUGCUUUCCUUUUUACUAGGGAACAACACAAUGCACUGGUAUCUAAUACCUAGUACAAUUUGCAUUGUUGCAUAUGUAAGUGUCCUGCAAAAUAGAAUGGCUGAAAAAUACUAAAAUCAGCUAGAAACAUAAACAAUUUAAUCUGUUGUCCUUGUUUGUGUAGCUUUGCAGCUGAUGGAAAGUGAUAUUUGUUGUUGCAAUUGGUCACAAUCUUCUGGAAUAGCUCAUGUCAUCUCCCAUGUUGUUAAUGAGCUUCAUGUCCUCUUCUCUCAUUUGGAGCUACAGAUCCCACUCUUUCUUCCCUGCAGUACCCAUAUUUCCUCCGUACUACACACAGCGACUACUCCAGAUGCAUGCAAUUGCUGAUGUAGUUGACUAUUAUACCUGGAGAGAGGUAAUAGCAAUAUUUGUUGAUGAUGAUUAUGGAAGAAGUGGGAUUUCUGUUUUGGGUGAUGCCCUUGCGAAGAAACGUGCCAAGAUUUCUUAUAAGGCCGCCUUCAGCCCUGGAGACCCCAAAAUAAGAUCAAGGACUUACUAGUUGAGGUCAACCUGAUGGAGUCACGAGUUUUUGUAGUUCAUGUUACUCCUGACACUGGUUUGAGUAUCUUUUCUGCUGCCAAGGCUCUUAAUAUGAUGGGUGGUGGCUAUGUUUGGAUUGCUACAGAUUGGCUUCCUUCAUACUUAGAUUCAAUGGAAGCAGUUGAUCCUGACACAAUGAAUAUCUUGCAAGGGUUAUUGCUCUCCGCCAUUACACCCCGGAUACUUAUCUCAAAAAGAGAUUUAGGUCUAGGUGGAACAACCUAAAAUAUAAGAGAAGUGCAGGUCCUGCAGGUUUCAAUUCUUAUGCACUUUAUGCUUAUGAUUCUGUUUGGUUGGCUGCACAUGCCCUUGACUUUUUUCUCAAAGAAGGUGGAAAUUUAUCUUUCUCUUAUGACCCAAAUUUGCAUGAUACAAAUGGCAGCAUGCUGCACCUAGAAUCACUUCAUGUGUUUAAUGGAGGUGAGCAACUUCUGCAGACACUUCUUAGGAUGAACUUCACUGGUCUGAGCGGUCAGAUUCAAUAUACUCCGGACAAACAUUUAGUUCAUCCAGCAUAUGAUGUUCUUAAUGUUGUUGGAACCGGAACCCGAAGAAUUGGUUAUUGGUCAAAUUAUUCUCAUCUCUCAAUUGUUCCCCCGGAGAGCAUGUAUACAAAGCCUCCCAAUAUCUCUACUGGCAGCCAACAUCUUUACAGUGUAAUAUGGCCUGGUGAAAAUACUGUAAUACCAAGGGGAUGGGUAUUCCCUAACAACGGGCAGCCACUGCAAAUUGCUGUACCCAACCGAGUAGGCUAUAAAGUGUUUGUGUCGAAAGACAACAGUCCUCAGGGUGUAAAAGGAUACUGCAUUGAUGUCUUUGAAGCUGCAAUAAGCUUGCUUCCAUAUGCUGUUCCUCACAGAUAUAUGUUAGUUGGAGAUGGUAAAAGAAAUCCCAUCUAUAAUGACCUCAUUAACCAGGUUGCCCAAAAUGUGAGUAUCAGCUUUAAUUUUGUUUUAUUGUUAACUGGUGUAGCUUAGCUGGUAGUCCUUUGGAUUAUGUUAUCUGAUUUUGUGGGAUGGUUUGGGGCUUUCAUUUCCCUGCUCAAUAUUGAGGUGCUAGUAACUAUUUUGACUUGCUCCUUUCCUAUUUAGAAAUAUGAUGCAGCUGUUGGAGAUAUUACCAUUGUUACGAACAGGACAAAAAUUGUAGAUUUUACACAGCCUUUUAUGGAAUCUGGACUUGUUGUUGUUGCACCAGUCAAAGAGGAAAAGUCAAAUCCUUGGGCAUUCCUCAAGCCAUUUACUAAAGAAAUGUGGUUUGUUACUGCUGCAUUCUUUCUUCUUGUGGGAUUUGUAGUGUGGAUUCUUGAGCACCGGUUAAAUCAUGAAUUUCGUGGUCCUCCCAGCCAACAACUUAUGACAAUUUUUUGGUUAGUCCAUUUAAUAUAUGGCUGCUAUAUAUUUAAUUGGAAGAUAAUGGGUGCAUUUGUCAUCCCUUGACACGUUAGAUCUAACCUAUAAGGUACAAUGUCAUGUUGCAAAAACCAUUGUGCUAUAGAGCAUAAUCAAGCUGAAAUCUUUAUGAGAGUAAGCUUUUUAACUCUGCAUUGUGUGUCAUGGUUCCAUACAUGUUAGCUGGGGCUGGAACCCGAGGCUCUGGUUCAUAAUGAAAUUUGCAUGGUCAGUGCCAAUUAGAGAUCUUUCUUAUUAACUCACUAGAAGAAUAUAGUAGUAAUUAUAUUGAUUUUUUUUUCCUAAUUUCAGGUUUAGCUUCUCGACAAUGUUUUUCUCGCACAGUAAGUAAAUCAUUGUAGUCCCUUAUGGCUUCUGUUUAUGUUAUUAUAUGUAAUGCUUCAGGAAAUCCAGGCUAGAAACUCAUAAAAUCUUUCAUGCUUUGACUUGGUACAGGGGAAAACACCGUGAGCACUUUGGGACGUUUGGUGCUGAUCAUAUGGCUAUUUGUAGUUCUGAUUAUCAAUUCAAGCUAUACUGCUAGUUUGACAUCGAUACUUACUGUGCAACAGCUGACAUCUGGGAUUCAUGGGAUUGAUAGCUUGAUCUCAAGUACUGAGCCUAUUGGAAUCCAAGAUGGUUCGUUUUCAUUUAACUAUUUGAUCGACGAGCUCAAUAUAGCAGAAUCUAGGUUAGUUAAGUUAAAAAAUCCUGAAGAUUAUCUCAGAGCCCUUACUCUUGGACCGAAUAAGGGUGGUGUAGCUGCUAUUGUUGAUGAGCUUCCUUAUGUUGAGCUCUUCUUAUCCAACACCAAUUGUUUAUACAGGACAGUGGGGCAAGAAUUUACAAAGAGCGGAUGGGGCUUUGUAAGUAUCAACAUUGAACCUUCUAGGCUGAUGUAUGGCAUUGCAACUCUAAUUUUCUUUUCCUACAUAUGAUCAUGGUGGUGAUUUUUUUUCCUGGUUUCAGGCUUUCCAAAGGGACUCCCCACUCGCAGCUGAUCUGUCAACUGCUAUCCUUCAACUCUCCGAAAAUGGUGAUCUCCAAAAGAUCCAUGAUAAGUGGCUGACACACAGCGAUUGCUCAAUGCAAAUCAAUCAAAUCGAUGAAAACCAACUCUCCCUAAGCAGCUUUUGGGGCCUAUUCCUCAUUUGUGGCACUGCAUGCGUCUUGGCUCUCAUUGUGUUCUGCUAUAGAGUCUGUACUCAGUACCGCAGAUAUAGCCCCGAAGACGUAGAAGGGGAGGUCGAGCAGAUCGAACCAUCUACGUCAUCAAGGCGCUCCUCCAUCAGCUCAACAAGUAAGAAAAUAAUGGACUUUAUAGAUAGGAAAGAAGCAGAGAUCAAGGAGAAACUGAAGAGAAAGAACAGUAAUGAUAACAAACAACAGACCAAGCACAGCUCAGAUGGACAAGCAAGUUCACCUGCAUAAACAGAAACAUUUUGUUUUGGUCUCCAUUGGAUCUUCCUUUCUCUGAUCUGUUGCAUAUAGAAUCUAUACAAAUACAAAUUCAUGUAUCCAAUGUAUUUGCUCCACUGCUUUCAAGUGGAGACAUAGGUCCUAGGUUUGUAUUGUUCUCAAUUUUCGUACCCUUUUUUUGUAGGAUUAAAAGAACAAAAAUGAGAAAUUGUUAGCUUGUCCUAAGCCAAUCUGUAUCAUACAACGUCAUACUCGUGUUGGAAUAAAAUAAAAAAGAAAUGUAAUGUUCAUUUCAUUAGAGGAGGGGAAGGGAGCUUUCGAAAUCAUAGCCACGUAUCAGUUUUCGCUCUAACAUUUCUUUACGGAUCGGUUAUGUAAGUAGAUUUAUUUACGUUGAAUUUAGUGAAUUUAUUAAUUUUUUUUUUUUUUGUCUCUCAACGAAAUUGAUUCAGAAACAAAAAAUGAAUACAAUAUCUUUACCACGGAAUCAACCAUUUGUCGAUUUGAUAGUUUUUUUUUAUCCAACCCAAAUUACAUUUCAUUAUAAUAAAAACAAUAUUUUUUUAUUCAGAUUAAAAAUAUAAUCGAUCAAAUUUAAAAUUUAAAAUUUAUUUAAAUUUGAUCUAAUUUUAUUUUUUUAAUUUAAAUUUGAUUCAAGAUAAAAAUCAAAUUAUUUAAGUUCAUUAGAUUAAGUUCGAUUAAUGUAUAAAAAUAAAUUUAAUUUUUAUAUUUGAUAAAAAUUUAAUUAUUUGUGUUUGAACUUAAACUCGAAUUUAAAUUUAAAAUUUUUAUUAAUUAAAAUAUAUUAAAAUAUUAAAUUUUGAUGAACUAUUCGAAUCGAAUAUAAAAAUAUUUAAAUUCGACUUAAUUGACAAAUCGAUUCGAACUAAAUACAAUAAUAAUUAAAUAAAAUUUAAAUUUUAUUUAACUCGAAUCUAAAUAAUUUAUUAGUAUUAAUAUAUCGUUUAUACUUUUAUUUUAGACAUUGAAUGAUUCGAAGAAAGUGGCCGCUUUGUAAAUAAGAAAAAGUGACAAGGACAAAAGUAACAAUUCACAAAACCUUUGCAUCAGCUUUAAAGAUUAUCGGGGGACAGGGGGCAGUGGGCACAAAUCUAAAGCAGCGUGCAGUCGACCAUUUCAAACCUCGUAAAUAUUUCAGAAACUGAGAUUCAAAAUCCCCAUUUUUCUUCUUCCUAGAAACAAAGCCCAAUUUGAAAGAAAUGGAAUGCUAUGCAAGGUGGUUGAUACGCUGCUGUUAGUGGCGUUUGUGGUGAUGUUGUUAGCGGGGCCUUUAAUCGACGCGCAAUUGGUUUUGCCAGAGACCACCUUCCCGGACUUGCUCAUCCGUCUGAAGCAACGAUACGCCGAGGAAUACCAAGAUUAUUUGAUGGUGGAAAAGCCCCAUUUCUUUGUGGCCCUGGUCUGGCUGGAGCUGGUUUUCCAGUGGCCUCUCGUUUUACUUAACAUUUAUGGAAUUCUGGCAUCCAAGCCUUGGUUCAACACCACUUGCCUCAUCUAUGGUGCCUCUGUCAUUACCGCCAUGGUAAAUUUCAAAAUCAAAAUUUUAAUCUUUUUUGUCACUUAAAUAUUUUAUGCUUAAUUUGUUAAUUUUGUGCCAAAUUCAGACUGCUUUAUUGGGGGAGCUCGUGGAUCUGGGAAGGGGUCAGAUAAAUUGUUGAAGAUGUACUCCCCUUUCAUGGCGCUUGGUGUUUUGGCCUUUGCUGCGAGGGCUGGUUCCACAAUCUGGCGAGGCUCAAACCAUUGGCCAAGGACUGCACUAGCUAGGAAGAAGAAGGCUUGAGUGAGAUUAAUACAAAACCAUCUUCUGGAAUUUUUGUAAUCCUUGUCAUAUUUUUAAUGUUUUUGUUUGUUUAUUAUUUCCUGAUUAUGAGUUCUAAUGAUUAUUUCCUGAUUAGUGCAUUUAAUUUUAAGAACAAUCGUUAGAAGAAAUAGUACAUUCCAAAACAAUGGUCAAUAGCUCAAUGGUACAUGUAUUACAUAAGAAAAGGCAUUUCAUUCAUAAUUUUUUUACAAUAAUAUUAUAAUAAUUCAAUCAUAUUAAAGAACUAUAUAGGAGUUUAUCACUUAUAAAUAUGAGUUUUGAUAUAUUUUAUAUAAUUAUGAAUUAUAAUUGAUUAAUUUUAUUACGAUAAUUAAGAAUUGUGUGCAAAACUUACAACACUUUAACAAGUUAAGAAUAAAAGUUUAUUCGAGUUGAAUCCAAUUAAUACAGUAAAAAGUUUGAGUUCGAUUUUGAAAUAAAAAUUAAAUGAUUCGAGCUUGUUCGAUUAAAUUUGUUUAAUAAAAAUAAAUUUAAUUUUUAUAUUUAAUUUAAAGUUUGAUUUUGUGUUCGAAUUUGAAUUUGAGCUCGAAUUUGAACUCGAAUUGAUAUAUAUAUAUAUAUAUAUAUGGGUAAAAUAAUAAUUUUUCAAAUAAAAUGAUAAAUAUAUUUUAAAAAUUUAAGUUUGCGAACUACUUAAGUCGAACAUUAAAAUAUUCAAAUACGACUCAUUCAAUAAGUUGAGUUAUUCAAAUUUGAACUUCACUCAAUAAUAAAUAAAUUAAAUUUGAGUUUUGAUCGAAUUAAAUCUGAGUAAUUUAGGAGAGCAGUGUAUAGUUACAUACUUAGUUAAAGGGAUUAAUGAAUAGAGCAAAACAAAAGGAAAAACAUGAAAUUAAUGUUUAAGAUAGUUCUCUUUAUGGCAAUAGGGAAUUAUACAUCAAACAACAUAAAAUCAUGUUCCUUUUCUUAUAGUAGGCAUACAACAAAAAAAAACCCUAUGACAUCUUUGCAUUAUGUGUUGAGAACAUUAAUAUGCAUUUAUAUGAUCCCAACAUCAGAUCCACAGACCACACAUAUCAAGGAUGGGAUUAGGAAUCUUCUUUCAUACUAAAUAUUUUCAUGGUUCUUAUAAAUGUAUAUUUAAAGUAAAUUGCCUUGUUCGUCCAUUAUUUUUUGUACUAUUUUAUUUUUAUUUGUAAGUUAAAAAUUUGAUUUGUUUCAUUUACAAUCUUUUUAAUUUAUUUCAAAUUAUGUGUAUAUGUUCACCUAAGUGUCAUAUAGUCAAUUUUUACAGAUAUAAUAAUACUCGUAUUGCAUAUUUUAUUUAUACAUAUAUAUUUAAUAAUAUUAUUUUUUAUCUCAUUAAAUAGUUUCAAUAAAUUAAAUUUCCUUCUAAAAUAUAUUUUUACAAACAAAAUUAUUAUAAUUUUAAAUACUUCCAUUUCGAAUUUUUUUUAAAAUUUUAAAUUUCUCCAUAGAAAUGCAUUCAAAGGAAAGAAGGAAAAAAAAGAACUAAAAUCACAUUACUUGUACAAAACUCUAAAACCCUAAACAUAAAGCUAAAAACCAUUUUACAACAAAGCUUUCUAUAAAGUUCUUUGCAUUCACUUUGGUUUUUUUUUUUAAUAAUUUAUUGGGGAAGUCAAUUCCCGAACCUCUAACUCUUGAACGCUUGAUGAAUUUUUGCUUGGCCAGUUAAUUUUCUUGGUCCCCAAACAAAGGUCAACAUGUCAAGAGGAUUCAUGCAAGGUGCGCUCUUGACUUCACCCCAUCUUCUAUGGUUCCAGAAUUCAUCAUCACCAUUGUUCUUAAAUUUAAUUGCCUUCCCUUUUUUCCUCCUUCUGUUAGUCACUGCAUCAAACAAAAUAGGGGCAAUGUUAGAUGAUCAAUAUCUUGAAAUCUAUUUGAGAAAUAGAUAUAUGAAAUAAUCUCCAAUUCAUGGAAAAAAAUGCUUAGGAAUGGCUAAAAUGAUUCAAUGAAAAAGAAAGACGUGUUAACCUCGCACAAUACUGUUGUCUUUGAUUCAACGAUAAAUGCAUGUAUUUUCGUUCAGAUUCAAAUUUCUUUACUCCAAAUUAAGAAAAAAAAGGGGUUAAACUUCUUUUGAAGUGUCAAAAUCCGAAAUAAAAUAUGUUAUAUUUGACAGCUUAGAAAAUAGUGAUCAUAAAUCGUGUAUUUCAAAGAUGACUCAAACAAGAGGUUAUUAGCUGGACUCGAACUCAAAACCAUUCACCUCAAGGAGAACGAUCCUAUCAAUUGAGCCAACCUCUCGUUGGUGGGUGUAAAAACUUCAAAGUUUGUGUUAACAUACCUGACUAGCUACAUAAAGCUGUGGCAGUUCAUGCGUUUUCAAAUGAGAGAGAAGCCUUUAUCCUUUCAACGGUGCAUGUGAUCAAAUUGUUAACUGUUGCAACUGAUCCAAGAGAAAGUUUUGCGGUAGGAACAGAGUCAACCAAAAUCUGAAAUGCAACAGUUAGAAGAGAUCCACCAGACCCGUUAUCAGCAAAGCCUCCUACACUCGAUGUAGUUCCAUCGGGCAGAAUAGCAAAACCUGAGGGAAGAAGGGCCACAUAGUCCGGGUCACCUCCAAUUAGGACUACAUUCAUUGCAGCAAUAUCAACAGGAGCAUAGAUUACAAAAGAGCCGUCGGAUCAGUGCAACUCUCUUGUAAAAUUAGCAUGUUGCUUUGGCUUGAAUUUGUACUCUGUACAAAUUUAUUUCAUAAACACCCACAAUUUUUGAUAAAUCAACAAAAUCACGUUGGUUUGCGCUACUUACAUUUACUUGAAGUAGUGAAACACAAUUGCCUGUAUCCCGACCAUUAACAAUAUGUGCCAUUUCUUGGACAAACGCCACCAUUGAAAGAAUAUCCCACUGUAUUUAGGAAAGACCAAGUUGUAGGAUGAUUAUUUCAUUUGACAAUAUUAAACACUAAAGACAUCACAAAAGUCUAGAGGCUUUGAUCAAUUGAUAAGUUAAAUUUCAGCCAUCAUAAUACAGUUGUUUAAAAGCUUUGACAUUACCUCACUUCGAGAAGUUUCAUCUCGGAGGAAAUCGAAUACCUCUUUGGUGAAACAGGGAAGCCAAAAGGAAGUUGCAGCACUUAGCACAAUCCCAGGAGGCCUACCUGGAUCGUCUACGCUCUUUCUGGUCAUGACCCUUACAUCAUCAGCCCCAGUUCCGGAUAAUGUUGUCCAUGUGUGAGCUGUGGAGGCACCUACUCCAGCACAGAAACUUAUUACCAUUCGCUCAGCUAACUUCAGCAUACUCUUUUCCCAUCUUGAUUUGUUAUGACUGACCAAAUUUCAAAAUAUUUCAACAUCAGAAUUGGAGAAGAUUAACAACUGGAAUUUAAUAUUUGUAGUACUAUCAUUACCCCCAACAUCAACAGUGGGAAUGUUAGCAGCCAUGACACUUGCAAGCCUCUCACACUGUCGAUCUAAAGUAGCUAGCCAUCGUCUUGCUCCGAAAGCCUGGCCGGAACUUACCAGCUGCUUGUACAGACUGUGAACACCUCUAUCAUCCACUUCUACAUGCUCAACCCACGUAACCUAUGUUGCAUAAAGCCAUUAGUUGAGCUAGAACGAUAGGAUUGGAAAUGCCAUAUAGUAAAAAGCACAUAUUAUUACUAUGAUCAUUUGAAUAUAAUUGUUUUACCUUUGAGUACCCGUUUGGCAUUUCUUGAAUUAAACAUCCAGAUGGCCUUAUCCUGCAUCUCACUGUUGGAUUAGGGCGUAAAUUAUCCAAGGAAACAUCAACCACAGCCCAAGUUCCCUCUGCAUGCUGUUUGCAAUAUCUUACAUAAUAACUCUCACGAGUGGGAACAAGAGGUGAAGGAACUUGAAAUUCAGCUGUCAUCUGAGAAAUUAAAAUAAUACAGAAAAUGUCACAAAAAUAUUAAAUCUACCAACACAGAAUAAAGUAGGAAGAUAUAUUAAACAAUUUCUCAAAGGUAAUAUGGAAUUCCAUGUUACCACUUGAAGGGCUCCAUUAUAAUUCCCUGCUAUUCCAGUUGAUAGAACAUCCAAAGUCGAAGCUUUUGAAACUAUUCCCGAAAACAAACUUGACCAUUGGUGCUGAAUUUCAAAACAGAAACCCAAAAAUUAGCUCUUGCCUUGCUUGCUGACUUGUUCAAUUUUCAGGGUAUUGAUGAUGGAUAAUAUUAUAAAAGCUUACCACAUCCAUAAGAAUCUCGACAAGGUUAAUGUGGUUCAUGAUUACAACAGCAGUUUCUCUUGAAGCUUCGCUUUUGAAGCCCGCAGGUUUUGGCCCAAUACCUCUAGGAAAACGUUCUAAUGUACUCUUCCUCAUUAAGCAUCGAGGUUGUGGCAUCAAGUGUGGUCAUCCAUAAGGGUUCACCCAUCUGAGCCAUUCUAACUAGUUUCCUCCAUAGCUGCCACCGCAAGCUCAAUAAUGAUUGGCUUAUCAGUCUCAGUAGGUGUAUUGAUCGACCUAGGGAGUUCCCCAGCACCAUACAUCUCUCCAUUGCCAGGUUGUGCACCGAAAUCAAGUGGUCGAGGAGGCAUAGGAGAAGAAAGAAGAGGAUAGUUCACCACUGGCCUGCCAACAUACUUUGCAGCUAUUGCUGAUAUACGAUCAAUCUGCAUGGUGAUCAAAAACAAUAAUUACCAAUAAUAGAACCCUUUAAAAGUUAUUAGUUAGAAUUUUUAUAAAGGAAAAAAGAUUAUACUCUUAUCUACAUAAACCAAUAGCAAUUAAAGUUGGAAUAAUUAUUUGAUACCUCUUCUCUUAGUCGAGCAUUUUCAAGUCUGAGAUGGUGUUCAUCAAAGGACAAUUGUCCUAGAGCAGUAGGACCUCCACAAUUUGGGCAUGAAGCUGUGCUAAGAGCUUCCCUGUACUUCACAUUAUCAGCCCUUAGCUUUUCGUUCUCAGCUCGAAGCUCUGUGUUCUCGUGGCGCUCAUGCUGGUUCUAUGGAUGAAAAGCAUUGAAAUUUAAAUAGAAAUGAGCCAAGCUGCUAUCAUGGUCCAGUUCCAGUGAGCUCUUUCAGGUUCUUAGAUAUUGGUAAAUUCAACCAAAAGGCUUAAGUUAAGGGCAAAUGAAACGUUUGUUAUACCUUCAUUUGGGUGCGCUUGUUUUGGAACCAAAACUUCACUUGCAAUGGCUCUAACCCUAACUCACGCCCAAGUUCCUUCCUUUGCUUGUCAUCUGGGUGCGGACACUCCUUGAAGAAUCUAUCAACAAAGUACAAAUUUUUCAAAGAAAGAAGCUUUUCAGCUUAAACACAAUAAAAAAUGAAGUAUUACUGUGAAGCUUUUCAGCUUAAAGACAAUAAAAAAUGAAGUAUUAUUGUUGAAUAGAUGUGUUUUGAUUAAUAGUUUUUUAUCUUACGCCUCCAUUUCUUGGAUCUGAUGCUGGGUAUGGCGAUGGUAACGCUUCUUUUUGGGACGAGGAUCUUGAUCAUCCCCAGAGGCACCUUCAUGAUUCUCGCUACCAGAUUUGGUUGUACUGUCGAAUUCCUCAUCUCUCAUUCGAGCAAUUUCACUUUCAGAUGUGUUUUGGGUCAUCUCAAGCGGGGGGAGUUGACCUUCCAUCAUAUUGUUAGGCUGGAACAUUGUCUGCAGAUCUUCAAGAUUCCGAAGCUCAUGAUUUUUCAAUCUAACAAUCAGAAUGGAAAAUUUUCCCACUCAAAAACAAACUCAUCUCCCGAAUAUGGAAAAAAACACAAAGAAAAUCUUAUCUGAUCAACUUUAAAAAAAUGGUAGGCAAAAACCAAAGGGGAAACAAAAAAAACAUUUGAAAUUUGAGUGUACGGGUAUUUUAUAAAUAGUAGACUAGAUUUAUAUGUGAGAAAAGCAAGUUAUGCCAGUAAUUUGACUUCAUAGGAGUGUUUUUUUUUUUUUUCUCUUUUUCUCUUUUUCUCUGUUCAGUGCUAAAGGCUUUACGCGUUUCUCACAUACCGAGAAGGAUUCUGCUCGGAAGAGCCAAAAAAGUCCACACAAAGACCAAAAUCACUCCAAAAAACACAUUUUUUUGGGUUCCAAAGCAGUGGAAAAGGAGAGAAGAAAGAUCUUUUGUUUAGUUUGGAGUGUAAAAUGGUAAUAUGGGAAAAGACCCAUUAAUCUAAUGGGGCCAAAGAAUGUUAAAAGGAGAGAUUAAUCACAAAAUGAAAACUGAAAUCAUCCCAAGAACCCUCAGAAAGCAUAGAUUUAAUACGGUAGAGAUUGGAUGCAAGAGAGAACUCGAGUUCUAACCUGACCAAGGGUAAGUCCUGAUGAGGAUGUUCGAAAACAAUAAACAUUAACCCCGUUUCCACUGAUCAUCGAAGGCAUAUUUCUUGAUUCCGGCUGGCAUAUUUCGGAAUCCCAAAAGCUCUAAGCAAUAUAAGUACUGUCCUUUGAUUUGAGUUGAGACCCCUUAGAGAUUGAUAUAUAUGUUCUCCUUUAGAUUUUCUAACAAUGAGAGACAAAGCUGACUCUGGUUUUCUUGGCAGCUGAAAGAUUCUUUCUCUGAUCGUUCUCUCCUUCGGUUAAUAUAUAGUAUAUUUAUCCUUGAAGAAUAUCUCUUCGGCUUUGCCUUGCCUGCAUCAUUUGAGAACACAAACGCAAGAUAAACGAGAUACUAAAAAAAAUAGAAGUUUGAGUUCAAAAGGUUGGGAAAAUAGAACGAUAUACCGUACCAAAACUUGGUUGCAUAGAUAUUUCUGACCUAACAAAGAAGAACCCUAGAAAAGCCCCUGGAAGAAGAGCGGUUUGGGAUCUGUUUAUGAUUAAAAAAAAAAAAACUCGUUGCCAGUAAACCACUAAAGGCUGCCGUGAAAGAGGUAAAGCAGGAGGUUUUGGUCUGAGCUUUAAUGGUAUAAGAAGUUGGGGUUGCGAUUGCAGAAAGAGAUGGGGUCAAGCAACAAAGUGACAGAUAUAAAGAAGAAGAAGAAAGAGAGAAAGGAAGGAGACGAGGGAACAGAUGAAGCAAUUUGUGGCAGCGAAGAGUUAUUGCAGAGCGUAUUGAAAGGGUGCAAUUGCAUUUAAUGGAGGGAAGCUGUAAAUGCUACCGAGAGAGAAAGAGAAUUUGGUGUUUAAAGUUAAUCUUCUUCCAUCUAAAGCUACAGGAAUUUUUUUGUAUGGUGCAAUGCAACGAAUGACGGCUACCAAACUUCAUAAAUUUUUUCACACUCCUUCUAAAUUCUAUUAUGAAGCAGCUUUAAUUUUAUGUUAUCAUUUUAUAUUGUGAAAAUGUCUUUCUUUCAUUAAAUCAAACAUAUUUUAUGAUUAAGGCUUUGGAUAAUUUCAAUAAUAAUAUUGAUUCUUCCAAUUCAUUUAUUAGGGUUGAAAAAAUCGUAAGAUUUACAUUAGUAUUAAAUGGAGUAUCUUAUAUAUAUAUAUAUAUAUAUAUCAAAUGAAUCAAAAUAAAUGCAAAUCUAUAUCUAUAUCUAUAUCAAUAUAUAUUAAAUAUUAUGCAUGAAAUUUUAUUAAUGUCUAAAAAAAAUCUAUAUCAAUCCCAUAAGGAAAAUGCUAAUUAAGAAAUAUCUCAUCAGCUGCAUCAGCAUCAAUGGAUGUUUAUUAUAUGCAGCAGAAUUUUUUUGAGAAAAUCACUUCUAUUUGUUUCCUUUUGACAAUGAUUUUAAAUAAAAAAUGCAAGUAAGAGAAGAAAGGGAUGGUGUUUAAAUGAAGUGAUAAGAAAAAAGAAAUUUAAGAUAAGAAAAUUAAUUAACUUAUUUCUAUCUGAAAUAAUGGUGUAUAAUAUUAAUAAAGUCCUACAUAAUAUAUAGGCAGCAUCUCAAAUGUGAUGAGGAAUAAUUAACAUGUUGGUUCCUUUAUUUAAUUUGUUCUUUUUUAAAUGCAAUUACUGAGGAUUAUAAUGGGACAAUCAUUUUAAAAUGUAAACCCCUCAUUAAAAGAUAAAUUAUGAGUAAGAUUUAAGAAAGUUUUUUGUUUUAUGAAUUAAAUGAACACUCAAAAACAUUAAAAAAAAAGUUGGAUCUCCAAUAUGUUGAUUGUGAUAUGAAUUUUGGUCUUUCAAAGACAUAAUAAUAUCACCAAUAAGCAAUAUUGUUGUAGUCAACUCUGAAAAUUUUGAAUUCAAACUUUAAUUAUAUCUUAAAAGAUAAAAAAUUAAUAAUAAGAUAAUAUUAAUGUCAUCAAUUAAAUGCAACUAGAAGAAAAUAUGUCAAAUAUAGAGAAGGAAACAAAAAUGAAGGAUAAAGAUAUAUCAUUGGAUCUAAAUUAUAUGUAUAACAUUUACAAGUAAUCAUUUUAAUUUAAAAGUAAAAAAAUAUAUAACACUCAUAAGUAAAUUUCCCUUCUCUGUAUAUAUAAUACAGGCCGACAUAUCUCAUAAAUCGUGUUUUUGAAAAAUUUUCGAUUUGAUAAAUACAUCAUAUAAGAUUUUAAUUUGUUUGAUUUGUCGAAAAUAAUUAAGUUUUACGUAAAAACUUCUAACAUGAAUAAUCAACAAACUUUUAUUUAGACAAUUAGGUUUUCCAAAACAAGAAUUGGGUUUAGAGAUAAAUCAAAAGUAUGGCAAAUAUGAUGAAAAUAAUUGGAUGAGAAGAGAUGGCAAGAGCAAAAAAAGGAAGGAAUAAGGUUAGGUAGGUGGGUCAUAUGCUACAUAAAAACUUUCCAUUUACUAAAAAUUCUUGUUGAUGAUUUAUGAUGAGAAUUUUGGUAAACACACAAAAGAAAUCCUUAGAAAAUAUAUGAUUUGAAGGAAGUUAGGGUUUUGUAUGGAAAUGUAGUUACUUGAGAGCUAGGGUUUUUAGUUGGUACCACAAAUUUGGUAUAAUCUUUAAGCUUUGUAGGUGGGCCUUUGCAAAUUUCAUCUUUACAUUAAAUGCCUCUGAGCCACACUGCCUUUGCAUGGCAAAAGGUCAUUUACUGCAUUCAUGACUUCCUUGCACACCUCCCUUAUUUUUCACACCUACUACUACUAUUUUUCUCAUUUAUAGUACUAUUUUUUGUCAAAAUUUCAAUUUUAUAAAUUAAAUAAUUUAGUUGGAAAUUUUUAAAAUGAUUAAUACUCUUUAAAUUUAAUGUUAACCUAUUCUUUUUGAAUUAUCUUGAAAUUAUGUUCACCUUUUUUUUUAUCACUAACUUUUAUUUUUACAUGUUAUAUUAACACCUCCCUUAUUUUUCACACCUACUACUACUAUUUUUUUCAUUUAUAGUAGUAUUUUUUAAUCAAAUUUUCAAUUUUAUAAAUUAAAUAAUUUAGUUGGAAAAUUUUAGAUGAUUAAUAUUCUUUAAGUUUAAUGUUAACCUAUUAUUUUUUAAUUAUCUUGAAAUUAUGUUCACCUUUUUUUAUCACUAACUUUUAUUUUUACAUGUUUUAUUUAUUUUUAAUGUUAAAACAAUAGUUUUUUUAAUUCGGGCUUAGUUCAAUUAAUUUAUUUAAUUAUAUUUAAAAUGAUAUAUUUAAUAAAUUUAAAAUUCAAAUUUUAGUAUUCAUGAUCUAACACCUUUAAAUAAAUAGUAAACCCAUGUAUUUUUAUUUAAAAAGCUGAGUUAAUGUUUGAAUCUCUUUUUUCAAAUAAAAAUUAAAAAAAAAAUCAUAGGGUAAUUAAAACCGAAAAGUUGAUAAUAAAUCUAUCCAAGACCAACCCACCCGCUUAAAUUCAAAGGUCCGAGAAUUUUGACAAAAAUAAAAUAAUCAUAUUAAACUAGUUUGAACCAAAAAAAAAAAAUCUAUUUAAGAAACGGUUCAAGCCUUAAUUCCAAUAUUCAAAGCUUGAGUCCGAUGAGAAUUAUAUAAAAUAUAUAUUAUUUUUUAUUUUAUACAUUAUAUAAUUAUACGUAAUAUUGUAACAUAAACACUGAAAAGAAUAUUAAGUCAUUCAUAUUUUAAAAUUUAAUAAAAAAAUAAACUAUUAAAGAUUAAAUAAAAUAAAAUAUUUUUAUUUAAAAAUAAAGUUAUUUGAGAAUACUUAGACGAUAUUAUUUACUAAAAUUAUUGGACUUAAACAAAAUUUGAAUUCUAAAUCUGUUUGAAUUUUAAAAAAUAUUUAAAAUAUUAAUACCAUAUUUAAAAUCGAGACUCACUUCAUGAUAUCAUUUAAAAAAGGGUAAAAUUAUCAUUUAUUAUUUGUUGAUUCUGCAUAUAACAAUGUCUGUAAAGUGUGAAGAGCUUAUGGGAAAAUAAUAAUAAUAAUAGUAAGUAUAAAUAAACAAGUAGGGUCAGUGCGAGCAGCUGGUGUCGGGGCAGCAUCGAUCAUGGGCUCAAACCGUUUGUCAUGUCCAUGACCAUGAUCGGGACUGAACGGCAAUGCCUAGUUGGCUCUCGCGACGCCCAAGUCCUGAUUGAGUGUUUGACCAUAAAACAAAAUUGCUUAACUAUAACUUGAAAAGCAGACGAGAUGUUGAGGGUUGAGGACAAUAUAUUAUAUCUGAAAAUUUUAAAUAUAUUACGAUAUGAAUAUAAUAUAAAUAAUAUAAUAUAAUAUAAUAUAUAAUUUUUAUUAAAAAUAUAAUAUAAAUAUAUAAAUUUUAAUAUUUUAUACAAUAUAAAUAUAUUAAUCGCUGAGUCAACAAAAUAUGAAACGUCGGUCAAAAGACCGUGUUAAGAUGGUCUUUGGUUCCAAAUCAAAAGCAGUUCACCGGCGCGAUUGUACUCUUUAUCAUAAUAAUUCAAUUAGCCGCUAAAAUGUUUGGCCAAAAAAAAUUAGCCGCUAAAAUAAUUAAAUAGUUAAACUUUUUUUUAGAAAAAAUCAAAAUUUAAUAAUAAAAAUUUUAUAAUUUAAAAACAUGAAAACAAUUAUAAAUUUUAAAUACGAUAAAUAUAUCUUUUAAAAAUAGUUGUAUAAAAUAAUUAAAUUAAAUUUUGAUUUCAAUCAAAUUUUAUUUUAUUUUUGGUUUGUUGAUUAUUGUGUUUUAGGUAAUGAAUAGACUUAUUCAAAGUUGAGUUAUCUACUUAAACUCGAAAAUUCAUCUAAAUUUUAAGAGAAUUUGAAUAAAUAAUUAAAAUUCAUUAAAUGAGUUUAAGUAUGAUUUUUAGAUUUAUUUAAAUUUUGAGUUGACUUUAAGAUAAAAUAAUUAAAAUAUAAGCUUGAUCUUGUUCGAAUAAGAUAUAAAUAUUAUAAUUAUAUAAGUAUAUAUAUGUAAAUUUUUAUUUUUCUAUUUAUCUUUUAAAAGGAUUUUUUAAUUUUUUAUUAUAUAAAUUAAAUUUAAUAAGUAAAUUGAUAUUUAUUUUUUUAAUAUGAACUAAGUUUGAAAAAAUUUUAAUGCUCGAAAUAUUAAAUCAAAUUGAAUUUAAAUAAAUAUAUAAAUUAUUAAUAUCAAACAUGAAUUUAAUUUGAACCCGACAUGACUCAUAAAUACUUUGUUACUAACGAAGCAAGUCUUAUAAAAUAAUAACUACACCUUAUCUAGCUCCAUUAAAACUUGAAAAGUCUCAUGAAUAAAUCUUUUCGUUUUCUUAAAAAAUUUUCUCAAAAUAGGUAAUUAUGCACCGUUUUUUAUAUUUUAAAAAAUAAAAAUACAAACUCCAAACAUAUAAUGAUUGGAAAUUUCGAAUAGUUAAAAAAAAUAAGAUACAUAGAAAUUAAUAAAUUGUCAGGUGAAUAUUGAAUUCAUAGCACUAAGAAUUGAAGAGACUUCUUUAAAUGCAUUUUCAUAGAUGGGUGUCUUUGGUGGAUGAUUUAAUUACAAAAUUUAUACUUUGGUUCCUUUCAAUUUCAUUGAUGGGAGGCAGACAAGAGUAUUUUUAUGCUCAUCAGAUAAUACUUUGAGCUUUUAAUGAAGAAAAUGAUUCUUCCAUUUUUCUCUCACAUUAAAUGUUUUAAGUUUACUAAAACGACUUUGGCAAUUUAAAAAUAUAUAUAUAUAUAUAUUUUAGGAUUUUUCUUUUUUGAAAAAUAAAAUUGAGUAAGUAUAUCCAUAAAAGAUACAAGUAUAAAUGAAUUAGCUGGUCCAAAGUUUAUUGAGAUUUGGGCUUUUUGAAGUUGAAUUAAAGCCCAACUCCUCAGCCCAACCAGUUAAAAUUUAGUUCAUCAAACAUUCCAUUGUCCUUUUCCUAGAUAUACGCAUGCCCAAUAUCCUUUGUAUUAGUUGCGAUGUCAUUAAAGUUCGAGAUUAUAUAUAUAAUAUUUUUUUAAUUAAAUAAAUAAUAGAGUACAAAAAAUUUAAGGAUAGAUUAAAAUUUUAUAUAUAUAUAUAUAUAUAUAUAUAUAUAUAUAUAUAUAUAUAUAUACACACACACGCAUCAUUUAGGUGUCCAAUUCAUAUGUGAUUGUUCAAGUGACAUAGCCAAAUUUGUAAGUACAUGCACAUAUAUAUUUUUUUUAGAGGAAGGUAUAACCUGUUAUAAAAGGAAAAGGGAAAAAGAUCUUGGCUCUACGAAAAUUUUGUUACAACUUCUCAUUCUUUUAAAUGAUAAAGUUUAAUGAAUUUCUUGCGACAUCACAGACAAUGAGCUAUUUACAUUAUCAUAAUCUGAAACAUUUUAUCGGAUCAUUUAAUUGAUAAAAACAACGAACGAUGUAUAUAAAAAGCAAAUACAUAAUUAAUGAGAGUUGAUAACUCGCACUUAUUAAGAAUUUUUCAUUGAAGAUUAAUAAUUACAAUGAUCUAUCUUAUUAUUAGGAUCUCUAUGUCCUUAUAAAAUAUUUUUAACUACUCCUUUUUAAUUUAAUUAAUUAAUUAAUUUAAGUAAACUUAAUAUUCAUGGAAACGUCAAAGGAUACUCCAUAUUUUUAAUUUCAAUGACUUGAAAAAUUGAUUUAUUAAAAUUACCUUUAAGGUAAAUGCCAAAAAAAAUGAGAAAUUUAUGCAAUAUGUAUGGUUUACUUUCUUUUUUUUUGUAAUUUUUAAUUUAUUAAUAUUAUAAUAUAUAGUAAAAUUAAAAUACAUUGCUAUUAUAAUGUAUGAGAGUUGAUGGUAUCCAUGAUUUAUUUACAUUUAUCUUAGACGAAAAACUUUGCAUGGUCCCACAAAAAAAGUUGGAAAAGUUGGCUGCAGCAAGCGGUGUGAAAAAAUAUAAAAACAUAAAAAAUUGAUUUGACAUUUUAGUGUUUAAUUUGAUUUAGAUUAAUUUUUUUAUUUGAUUAGAAUUAAGUUUGAAUAUUAAAUAUAUAAAUUAAAUUUAAAUUAAAUUUUAAAUUAAAAAAUAAAAUUAAAUCGAAUCAAAUUAUAUAUUUUUAUUUAUUUUUAUAUAUUUUUUAAAUUUUUAUAAAAUAAAAUAAUUAUUUUAUACCUAAAUCAUUUUGAAUAUAUUUAAAGUUAUAUUAAAAAAUAUAUAAAAAUUAAAAAAUUUAAAUUUAAAUUUUGAUGAACAAAUCAAUAAAAUUUAAUUUAAAUUGAAUCAAAUAAUAUAAAAUUUUCAUUUAAAUCUAAAUCAAAAUUUAAAAUUUUAUAAUUUUAUAUAUGAAUCAAAUCAAAAUCAAACUCAAAUCAUUAUUAUCUUUUUAACUGCAGGGACAUUCAGAACUGACGGAAUAGCAGGGGGGAUUAUGCAGCUUAUAACUAUGGGUGGAGAGAGCUAAUAAUCUAAUGAAAUUAAGGGCAGAUAAAAUUAAGUAAAGGAUACCCACUAAACCCAAGGUGGGGUUGGCUUCAAUUUUUUUUUUUAAUUUGUUCAUGUUUUGAGUAGUCUUCUUAUUCUUUUUGGAUUUCAAUUGACUCAUGCAUGAAUUGUUUUUGGUUGAAAGUAAUCACGUCCAAACAAACAAAAUGGCUGCCAUUAUUGCACCACAAAGGUCAACCCCCUUGCAUGUCUUCUCUUUCUCUUUCUCAGCCUUGUUUCCUGUAGCGGCUGCUAGCUGCCUUCAACUUCCCUGGCCCACCUUGGCCACACCAAGAUUCUACAUCAUGGGUUUCCUUUUCUGUAUUAUUUUGUAAUAAUAUUUUGUUUUUUUGGGUAUAAAUCCGCCAUUAUCAACAGCUUCUCGAUUUUCUUUUCUGCCCAAAGAAAUUUAGUCUCUCUUCUUCUCUCUGGUUGACACACACAUAUAUAUAUAUAUAUAUUUUUUUUUUUCUUCUCUUUAGAUUGAUGGAGGAUUACUCUAUUAAUUCAUCUAUACACAAAUUAUCUGUUGCUUCCAAAGGAACAACAACAACAACAAUCAAGACCAAGGAUUUACCCGAAGAGAGUGGCUGGACUGCUUACUUUGAAGAUUUAUCAAACAAUGAUCAUCAGCAAAAUAUUAACUCUUCUAGUUUUAGUUGUAGCUCUUCCUUGAUCUCAGAUGCUGCAACAACUGGUGCUGCAUGGCAAAUAUCCCACAAUAACCAUCAUGUUUUUGGCUGCUCUUCAACCUGUGCCCCCUCCUCAAAAAUUCCCAAGAAAUUGAAGUUCAAGAAAACAAGAACCAAAGAAACUUGUGAGGAUGAUUCUCUGGAGGAUACUGCUAGUUCUCAUAUUAAUAAUCCCAAGGUAAAAAUAUUGAAGAACACCCCAUAUUUCUGUAUUUCUUUGUCUUAAUUUUGAUCUUUCUUUUGCAUCUUCUUCUUUGAUACUUACUGGUUUAAUAAUUCUUUUUGUUUUCAUAUUUGAAUAGGUUAGUGACUUGAAAUCAAAUGAUAGGAAUAUUCCCAGAAAGACAAAAGAUCAGGUCCAUAUAUAGUUCUCUGGUAAUUAAAGUCAAUUAUUCUGAGAUCAUGAUGAUAAUAUAUGUUAGAAGGUUGACCUAAUUAUUAAAGAGUUAAAUUAAUAUGGCUUCUUGGUGAUUAUGUAGGGGAAGGAAACUGCUUCAGAGAAUUAUUCAGAGAUACAGAUUGAAGAAGAAAUUAAAGAAAAUGAAUUUUGACCAUGGGAUCAAGCGUAAUUAAUUGUACAGAGUUAAAGAAAAGAGGGCUUGUUUAGUUCCUUCGUCUAUGUUACUUUACUAUCUUGGUCAAUACUCAACAUUUUAUCAUUAAUCUCUGUCUCUCUUCCCCUCUCUCUCCUCUCAUGUCUUCCUUGUAGCUGGCAUGCUUAUAUCAUUGUAUAAAGAGAAUUACUUUGAGCCCGAAAUUAACUCGAUUCAUACCUUAAUUAUAAGUGACAUUCGAUAAAUUUAAAAUUUUAUUCCAACUCCUUCUAUUGCUGACCUCUUUUAUAAAAUAUAAAAAGAAUUUUGGUUGAUAUAUGUUGAUUAUAGUGUGAGCAUACAUUAUUAAGUCCUUGAUCUAUAAUAUUACAUGAGAAAGUAAGAAAAUUAAAUUACUUGGUGAAGAAUGUGAACCUCAUUUCAUUAUCAGGUAUUCCCGUUUUAUGAAUUAUGGUAGAUAAUUCUAACAAAUAAAUAUUCAGGUAUAUUAUUCUUGGUGAGAAUGAGAAUGAGAAUCACAAUCACAAUCACAAUCACAAUCAAAACCCAGCUAAAGGAUGGGAGUUCCUUGCACCCUCAAAGCAGAAAAAAAAAAAAAAAACAAAGACAAAGGUUUAAAUAUUAUUUAAUAUCCAACCUCUUGCAGGCCAUUCAUUUAAAUUAUUCAGAAAGGGCUGCAAUGGAAGACCCCUCCAUGUGCACAAGCAUUAUAUCAAGGCAGGUGAAGCACAGAACAGAACCCAGAGUUGUUAAGGGCGUUCAGCUAAACACCCACCAUUUAUUCUUCUGGUUGACUACCUAAUCUAUCACACUCUUCUAUAUGGAUGUUAUCUUAAGUCUCCUUUUCUCAUUAUCCUUUUAGGAAGAAGAUCGUAGUUUCGGGAUCCAAAAAAGAGUUGCAAGCAUUAUAAUUUUAAUUUCAAAUUUAUUAAAUAUUAAUUUUUAUGAUCGGUUUUAUGAAUUAAAUGAGUUAAAUUAUAUAAUUCAUCGAUAAUUAAGAUGUUUUCAUUAUAUAUGCUUUUAAUAAAUGUAAUUCCUUUGGAUUUAUGUUGCUGCAUUUAAUCAGUUUUUGAACUAAUUUUUUUUCCUGUUUAUUUCAAAAAGUUUUGUUUGUUGAUUUAUAGAAACAUUGGAAAAUUUCCAAAAGCUACCUUCCAACAUAAAGAGAGACCUAUAUAUUCUACUUUUAAAGCUUUAUUUGUCAGUAUAUUGCAAGGCAUAAUUAAAGAAUAUGACAACUUGGAUUACUUGGUUUGAUUAAAAAUUUGAAGAAAGUGACCAAAAUGGUUCAGUUUGAUGCAUAAUUAUCUGAUCAAAGUGCAAGAUUCGAAUUUCUGGUUUCUUCGGUUUGAAAUUUUGACCAUUUAAAUGGUCGAAACUUGAAAGCAGUGGAGCGGUCCAAUAUUUGGCAUCCAAUUCGGCUUUUGCAAUGAAAUCUUGGACCAUGAAAAGCCCAAAAUCCAUGUUUUGUGCAAUGGGAGAUGGGUUGAUUUUUAGUACAUAAAUUUAUCUUUGAUCCACUUUUAAACUAUUACUUUGUUUUAGAACAAUUCAUACAACAAUUUGAAAAGAAAAGACUUAAUUUUUUUUUACCAAUAAAAAAGACUGAAUUUAAAAGAGUGAGAUAUGGAUCCGCAGAUAAAGUUUGAUUUUUGUGUGUGAUGGAAUAUUUUAAACCACUAUACUAUUGGGCUUAUUAGAUCAUUCUGAAGCCUAACUAAUUUCCAAGCCCCUAACUAAUUAAGAGACCUUUUACGAACAAGCAGGCCAUUUUUUUUUUUUUAGCGAUAAAGGAUUUUUUUUUAUUAUUUUCAUUUGAUAUAUAUAUAUUUAUUUAAAUAAUUUAAAUAAAUUUAUUUACGUUAAAUUUAAUAAAUUUAUAAAAAAUUAUUUUUUUAGAUUUUUUUAACGGAUUCAAACUAAGACAAUAAAAAAAUAUUUUUAUCAUAUAAAUCAGCUUGUGUUGAUCAAAUAAGUUAUCGUAGAUUUUAAAUAUUAUCUUGUUAUUUAUUACAUAUAUUUAUAAAAAUUUAAUCUAAAUUUAAGCUCUUCUUAUAAUUUUUAUUUCUUUUUAUAAUAUUUCCACCAGCUUAUAUAAUAUAUAACAUUUCUUCAUUUGAGAAUGUAUUGGCCAUGCCUACCAAUAUAUAUAUUUUUUGGUCCUAGAUAUUUAUCAUGCAAUGGUAAUAUAAUCCUUGUAGACCAUAAGGGUGAUAGAUGGAAUUAUAAAGCUGAUUCAAAUGUUCAUAGUUUUGGAACUCCAUAGAAGUAAAACAAAGAUUUCUUUUUUUCUCGUAGAGAAAGUGGUUGCUUGUAGUAGGGAAAGAAAUCUCCCAAGUAAUGUGAGAAGCACGAAGGUCGUUUUGCUUUUUCCUCGAAUUGCUAUACACCUUAACCCCCCAUCACCCCAUCUCAAUCAGCAAGCAAUUUAGGACCACAGUCAAUAGCUAGGUCAGCUGGUUCAGUUCCACCUUCAACCAUAUACCAACCGGCAACCACCACCCCAUUCUCAACGUCACAGAUCCCAAGUAGAAGGAACUCUUUUACUCAACGUUAAGUAUUUGGUUCCAAUUUCCCCAUCACUUUUCCAGAAACUCAGCUGCAGUCCAAAGAACCCAUAUCUCAUCUUUAUUUCAUGCAGCAAAAAGGAAAAAAUAAUGGUGUGAUCAUGCAACACAUUCCUUACGUGAUUUUUUCUUCAUAUAAAUAGAUAUAGAAUUUAUGAUAGAAAAUGAUCCCAUGAUCCUGAACCGGUCUUACCCGGGAUCGCAAAGCCCAAGUUUGUCUAUGAAGAGCAAAUCUAAGUGUAUUAGUGUCUAGAAUUGAUUUCUUCUGUGUAAUACUAAUCGAUAGGGCCUCAUUGGUAAGUGCUACAAGAUCUCGUGCAUUGGAACCCACGUUUGUGGACCCGAAUCCAUUAGUAUGGAACAUUUUCUUUUCCAAGUGAAAUCCCUUAGUAUAUGAAAGAGUGAAAAAGUGCUUUCGUUGUGAUCAUACAAUACAUCUUUGCUUUCUCCAUGGCUACAUGCAUGCUCUUUGUCUGUAUUUUUUUGGGUUGGUUUUGCUUGAACUGCAGAGUUUUUCUUAUCUCUAAGGAAAAAAG